CAUGUGCGCGUCUUUCACAGGUGUUCCCGUUUGCUGUGAUUUCCUCACUGACGUCAUCUUCACCUGAAGCUUGUUUGAUCCCCAAUCGGCAGUAGUAUAUAACUCUCUCGUUCCCUUCAUUGAAUGUACUAGGGGUGCUUCUGAUGCAUUUCGCCAUCCUGUCCUGUCCUGUCAUGUUGUGUUUCCAGUUUAUUCAAUUAUUAGUCUGUGUUAUCUGCUGUCUCGUCCUUGCAGAAUUCCAGCCGUCACGCUUCUUCAGUCUUCCCAGUUCUACAAACUGUCUGCUCAUGAACUAGUUCGUCUUCGCUGUGGAGAGAUUGGAUUACUUUGAGUUUCAGUCAAUUCAUCAUCUGCUACACACAGCUGAGUCGUCUCUCAUUCCCUGGAUAUUUACCAUCCGUCACCAGAGCUCUGUCACUGAUCAUCUCCAGCGAACUGUACAGUUUGUUGCGCUAUAGCGCUGAUAUUGAUUACCAUCACUAACUGUGUUUCUCCUCUAUAUCACAGCUCUGGACUGUUGCUGUUGACGAGCUGUCCCUUUUGGGUUGUGCCGUGGUCCGGUUCGCCGUAUAAUUCCACGGAGGAUUAAUUUCCCCCCUUCCUAGUAACUCCCGUGACGCGGCGCUCACGGGAGUGGCCUACGUGUCCUGCCCCGUAUCGGGGUUCCCCAGUCUCACCCUGAGCCGUCAUUGCCAGGGAUUACUCUUCGAGCUCUGUCUUCCCUUCCCCGGAUACCUUAAGUGACUUUGGUGACUGAGAGACUUGUUGUGUGUAUUCAAUAAAUAUCCCUCUGCUCUGGAAUCCUUUGUCUGUGUUUCUUACAGCGAGUGCCACUGGCCAAUCACAUAACAGCAGACGAGCUUUCCUGUUAACGCAAGCCGAGCGGCGGCCAAUCAAAUUAACCAAUAGGUGGGGUUACCGUCAGGACAGGAGUAACAGUUACGCCGCGUCAAUCAAUCAUAACGGACACAGAUUGCAAAGGCAGAAGGAUGAAAGAUAACUAUGUAUCAGGUCUGUGUUCAUCAAGACCUGAAGACUCUGGAGUGGGACAAAAGAAGGAUGAUGCGGUGUAUAUUCCAAUAGACACAUUAAGUCACAUUGUGAUUUCAGUGAAAGCUGAUAAAUACAGAGGGCUGGACAGUGGUUUUAUUCAUUAGGUAAAGAGGUGGGACAAUGACGCUGACAGGACAGGAGGAGGUGACAUUCAGUGUCUAAUGACCUGCGCAUUCUCGAGGACGUUCUGAAGUUGUGUUUGACUUGAUGCGAAGCUGCUAGACUGCGAAGGAGAUAACCAAGAAAACAAGAUAACCACUGUUUUUUUAAUUGUUCAGAAAUCUCGUUUUUUGGUUGUGCAUUCCAAUUAAUUUCAAUUCAACUGCAGUUGGUUUGUUUUGAUUUAAACCUUCAUAACUUAAAAAAGACAGCUAAGUAGCACCAUAAAACAAAAUAAUAACAUGAUAACAUAAUAAUAAACAUGUUUUGAGAAAAAAUUUAAAAAAUGGAUUUAUCUCGUUUUGCAACGAAACUCUUCAUAUAUUAAGUACAUGCUUAGAACAUAUCUCAUUUGCUCAUUGGCUUUGUAUCUAAAUGAAAAGUACCUCUUUAAGGUCUAAGCUAUGUUUCAUUUUAUUUAGACAUUCAACGCAGACAUUUUCAUCCAAAGCAAGAAAACAGAAACAGUUAAUCCUAAAAGUGGGCUGCUGUAAUGUUUACAUCUAUGGAAAGAGGAGCUGAGAAGAAAAGAGAGGCUGGAAAGCAGUACUUCUUGUUGAGGACAAUCCUGAAUAGGAACACUUUCUCAUACACCUAGAUUAUUAUUAGUGUUUGAUUUUUUUUUUCAUUUUUAUUAAUUGUACUGUUUUAAUUUUUCAUUUUAUUUGAAAUUACCUUAGAUUCAUGCUAAUACUUUAACUGAAACUUGUAUCGUUUCUGGCUGGCUGUAGAGUUGGUUUCAAAUACACAUGAAGUUUUUAAUUAACUAACUUUUAAGUCAGUUUGGUUUAAACUUGUAUUUACCCAUGGUAAUUCAUUUACAUUUCAAUUCAUGCUAGUAUAUUAAUUUCAAUGAAAACUUCUGUAUUUGUGUAUAGCUGGUAAUUUGGCAAACUACAUUUCACACAUCAAUGUAACUGUCACAAAGGUUUUUUAUUAUCAGUUUGUUCUAAACUUUUGUUUGUUUACUAAGGAUGAAAUUGCUUUGUAAUUUAAGUUGUUGGUGUUAGAUUCAUUCCAAUAAUGUAUUUGAACAAACUAGUAUUUUUGUUUUUUGCUGGCAGUUUAUACUAGAAGAGUUUUAACACAUACAAUGUUGUAGUGUUAUUGACUUGUUGUUAUUGAUUAAUAAA
This is a long non-coding RNA of Misgurnus anguillicaudatus (oriental weatherfish), 2345 nucleotides long. RefSeq lists it as uncharacterized. NCBI's taxonomy places the organism in Eukaryota, Metazoa, Chordata, Actinopteri, Cypriniformes, Cobitidae. The record is from RefSeq and is a predicted model, not a curated record.